This 253-nucleotide ribosomal RNA is filed under the name uncultured bacterium. RNAcentral describes it as "partial 16S ribosomal RNA". It matches the Rfam family "Bacterial small subunit ribosomal RNA", at positions 524 to 776 of the family's 1533-position model. The record is from RNAcentral.
UACGGAGGUGGCAAGCGUUGUUCGGAAUUACUGGGUGUAAAGGGUAUGUAGGCGGCCUGUUAAGUCGAUCGUGAAAUCCCUCAGCUCAACUGAGGAAUGGCGAUCGAAACUGGCGGGCUUGAGUGCAGGAGAGGAAAGCGGAAUUCCCGGUGUAAGGGUGAAAUCUGUAGAGAUCGGGAGGAACACCAGUGGCGAAGGCGGCUUUCUGGCCUGCAACUGACGCUGAAAUACGAAAGCUAGGGGAGCAAACAGG